GUGGUCUAAACCACUGAGGCUCUUGGGCUUGCUGAUCAGAAGGUCGGCGGUUUGAAUCCCCACAAUGGGGUGAGCUCCCAUUGCUCUGUCCCAGCUCCUGCUGACCUAGCAGUUUGAAAGCAUGGCAGUGCAAGUAGAUAAAUAGGUACCACUGCGGCAGGAAGGUAAAUGGUGCCACGGUCCUCCGUGCACCAGUAUCAGUUGAAUCAUGCUGGCCACAUGACCUGGAAAGCAGUCUGUGGACAAACACUGGCUCUGUGUCUGAAGCGAGAUGAGCGUUGCACCCCAUAGUUGCUUUUGAGUGUACUUAGCUGUUCAGGGGUCCUUUAGCUUUAUUUUUUUACAAUAGAAUACUAAAUAGUAAAAUUAGCUAAAAUUAUCUACAGUAGGAAGAAUAGGGUGCAUCCUGAAAACCACAACAUAACUAAGCUGUCAAAGAGGUUACCAAAAGCUAUAGAAGAAAGGAGCAAGACACACCCCUCUGCAAGGAGGGGAUUCCACAGUUUAGGAGCUGCCGCAGAGAAUUUCCUCUCCCAAACUGCCACCCUGCUGAAAUGCCACCACUGUUAUCUUAACACACAAGAGGAUCUGUGAGUAAGAAAUAGUCUUUCAAAUAUUUCAGAGCACGGUGUUGGCAAAACCAUGUCAUGUACAGCCAAGUAUCUUUUACAUUUACUGAACUGGCUUUGGCAAUUAGUCUUUCUCUUCUCCUUCUGUUUUUUCUUUCUUUCUUUUUUCCCCCAUUCUCAGGGCAGCUUCCAUGGAGCAUAGAGUCUUAUUCAAAUUGUCUGCUGAAGGGUUACCAACAGAUGGAAAAUAGCGGCUUUCCUGAAAUCAGUGCUGAAAAGUCCUGCGCUUGUACUGGGCACCGGAUUCGUUUCUUGAAUGCAUGGAUAAUAUUUGACUGAGAGGCAUGAUUUGUAAAGCAAAAAUAGGAUUUUCACACCAUAAGCUGCACCACAGGGAUUUCAACUUUAAUCUUCAAUUCUGAUAAGCUACUUCUGGCAAACAUGUAGCUGUAUUUUUCCCUGUGACUCCUAAUUCCUUUGUAUUAACAGAUUACAUACCAUUUUAUCAUGGCUCCUAUUAUCUAGGCAUUUCAUUUACCAUUAAAGUUUAUGUAGUAAUAUACUGGGGGAUUUCAGAACCUUACAAAUCACUUACAUGGUCCAGCUACAAUUUUCACAGAAAGCUUUGGCGGACUGAGCUGUAAUAACAUGUAUCGGGCAGGAUAGGACAGCAUCCAGCACUGCUGUUCCUUGAACUCUUGGAUACUUGGAAAGGUUAGCAAAAAUAUCACUGUGGCUAAGUUAUAAUAAAUUACAGCAUUUAAGGUUGCUGUUCCAGAGGAAAGCAAUGUGUUACCAAAUGCUCAAAUGUGGCUAUUAAAGAACUAUUAUGGCAAUUCAAUUUUUGCUGGUGUUGAUCUUUCAAACAGGCUAUACUAUUUGUAACAAAUCCAGAAAGUCGGUAGUUUUUAAUUCUUUUACGGGGGAAAAAACCCAUCCAUCUACUUUCUAAUGUUUUGAUAUUGCCAACAAUACAAUUUUCAGUAUUGAGAAUAAUUUGCCAUUUUGUCAUUUCUUCCUAACUAAGUUAAUGGGCAGUAGAAAGGUGGUUAAGAUUAAAUAUACCGGUAAGUGAUUGUAAAUUAAUUGAAAGAGAGAGAGAAACUAGGGCUGUGUCUUAUGUUUCUGUGACCCCCAAACCUCUGUGAAACAAUAGGCCAGAAGAAAUAUUUAAGGUCAGCUGUGGAGACCUCAGGUCUUGAGGCUGUUUUGUUGGCUGAAAACAAGAAAUUUAUAAUUUGCCAGAGGGCCUUGUCAGCAAUAGCAUCUCAGCUGUGGAACAUACUCUUUGAUCAGCUUUGAUGGGCACCUUCAUUGUCCAUCAAUCAGCACCAGCUAAAUAGCAUCCUCUUCUACUAGGCCUCAUGAGCUGAUGGUGUAUGGGCAUACUGGACAUUGGGCAACAUGGCCAUGCUAUUUGUAUUAUAUUUAAUGUAUGUAUUAGUGACUAAUAUUUUUACAUUGUACUUUUGUAUUUUGACUUUAUUGGCUAUUAUAUUUUUUAAAAAAAACACUUUGUGACCCACUCUGAGAUUAAUUGUGAUGAAGUGCAGGAUAUACGUUUUAUAAGUAAACAAAUACAUACAUAAAAAUAAAAUAAAAUAAUAAAUCAUAUGCAUACCUACCUGGGAGAACGUCCCAUCAAACCCUGUAAGAAUGAGUUAUGGGUAACAGUGCAGAGUUGUACGGUUAGUAUCUAAUUUUUCACAUUGCUUAUUCCAAGGAAUGGGAGGAAAACUAGCAAAGGAGUGCAUCAUGGUUUCUGGCUUUUCCCCCAUCCUUACAUCUCUCCAAAAGAUCUACAGAUUAAAUACAUCAUCAUACUUUCCCUUUCAGACAAAAGACAUUUUCUUUAAAUUGGAAAUGUCAAACGCAGCCAGAGGAUGGAUUUCUAACUUCCUAUGCCAUUUUCCUUUUUUUGUAAUUUCCGACAUAAUAAUGGUGAAUCAUAGGCUUGUAGUAAGGUUUUAUCACUGUGUUUUCACAGUUGAUAGAAGGCUGGUCCUUAUCAAGGCCCGAUAACAGAUCAGCCUAAUAAUGCACCCACCUUUUUUUUUUGGACAACAUGUGAGAUGAAAAGGAUUAUCCAGUGUGCCUAUGUUGGUAUCAUCACUGUCGCAGUAGCUGAUUCUUAAAGUUUAUCUGUCUUUGUCUAUUAAAUGCAGUGGGACUAACAGUGUGAAGUGUAGAUAUCAAUAUUUACAGGCGAGAGGGAAAAUGUGGGGCUUUGAAAAUAAGCCCAAACUCUACAUCAGAUGUCAUGGGCUUUAGUCAAUGAAAUCUCGUGUCAUAAUAAAUCUGUUAGUCUUUAGAGUACCAAAAGUUAUAAUGUGUGUGUUUGGAACUAGCCAACUUGAUAACCUGAUAACCAACUGUAUGAAAGGGAUCAGGUAGUCAGGGAAACUGAUGUGAAUCAGAAAAAGGAAGUCAGAAAAUAACUGCUUUCAAUAUUCCAGAAUCUUUGAAGACACUUAAAAAAGCUUUGUUUCACUUUAUGCUGUAUGCCCUGGGCUGAGCUUAUGUUUAUUUUUAACCUUAUUGUAUUGCACAUAGAUUUGAAGUCAUCAUAAAGACCACCACCACCACCAUCAUCACUCAAAGCUAAUAGAUUAUCAUUUUCAUUAUGUUAGUGGAUGAUUAAAUAACAUGUUUACAUCUCUUGCAUUAUUUUACAAGACCCUUAACAUCUUGGAUCCAGGAUACCUCAAGGACCACCUGAUUCAUUAUAUCUGAUUCCUGAGGCCUUUCAGGAAGUCACAGUUAACACACCCUCCAAGUGUCCCUAUUUUCCAGGGACAUCCCUGAUUUAGAGAAGCUGUCCCAGUUUCUGAUUUGAUCCCGGAAUGUCCCACUUUUCCUUAGGAUGCCCUGAUUUUUAUUGGAGAAAUGUUGGAGGGUAUGGAGUUAUCCGACCCCUGAGCCAUCUGAAGGCAAUUCUGUAUAAGGAAUUUUUUUAAAAAAAUUUAAAAUGUUUUAUUAUGUUUUUAUAUGUGUUGGAAGCUGCCCUGGGUGGCUGGGGCAACCCAAUAAGAUGUGUGGGGUAUAAAUAGUAAAAUUAUCAUUAUGGAAUGGGCUGUCCCUAUUUUCAUCAGAUAAAUGUUGGAGGGUAUGAGUUAGUGGUCUCCUAUGGCUAAGACCUCCAUUGAGGUCAAACAGGCCCUCUCCUGUGCCUUGAGGGGUUUUGUAAAAAUAAAUAAAUAAAUAAAUUCCGGCAAACAUCUUACCUGAAUUCUGAUUUUACAGUUCUGAUCUUUAUAUUUUGUACUGAGUUAUUUGCACACUGUGUAGAGGCAAUUCUAAUUAGGUGGUAUAUAAAUAAAAUAAUAAAUAAUAAACCUCUCCCGUUGAAAGUAUAGGAUUCAAAGCAUGAUCCUACCCCUGAAAUGUUGGCUGGAGGCCAUCAGAUCCCAAAGAUCAGAAGGCAUCAAAACCAUCUUCUUUCUACCAUGCUUCAGGUUCCAUCCAGAGAAGGUAAGAUGCACAUAGGUCCUGCUGAAAUAAAGAGGUUAAUAUCUGACCAUUUAAUGAAGUCCCAUGACUUCAAUGAGAUUUAAACAUUAAUUAUUAUUUUUUUAUAAAAAGGUAAAGGUAAAGGACCCUGACAAUUAAGUCCAGUUGUGAACAACUCUGGGGUUGCGGCGCUCAUCUUGCUUGGCCAAGGGAGCCGACAUAUGUCUGCAGACAGUUUUUCCGGGUCAUGUGGCCAGCAUGACUAAGCUGCUUCUGGCGAAACCAGAGCAGCACACAGAAACGUUGUUUACCUUCCCACCACAGUGGUACCGAUUUAUCUACUUGCACUUUGACGUGCUUUUGACGUGCUUGGUCAGCAGGAGCUGGGACAGAGCAAUGGGAGCACCAAAUUUGCCAUUUUCAUAGCUGCUGCACAUUAGUUCAAUGUUUUCUUUGAGCGAUCCGCCACUAUCCCAAGGUCUCUUUCCUGCCCAGUUCCAGCCCCAUCAGUGCAGAUGUAAUGUUAAAAUUCUUCAUGUGUACUGUUUUGCAUUUACUUACACUGAACUGUAGUUGCUGUUUUAAAGCAUUGUCACAGCAUUUGGAGAGAUUCUUUUGGAGCUUCUCAGAAUAACGUUUUCAUUUUUAUCACCCUGAAUCUUUGACUGUCAUCAGCAAACCUGACCAUCUCACUGUUGUUGUUGUUUAGUCGUUUAGUCGUGUCCCCAUGGACCAGAGCAUGCCAGGCACUUCUGUCUUCCACUGCCUCCCACAGUUUGGUCAGACUCAUGUUUGUAGCUUCGAGAACACUGUCCAACCAUCUCAUCCUCUGCCAUCUCCUUCUCCUUGUGCCCUCCAUCUUUCCCAGCAUCAGGGUCUUUUCCAGGGAGUCUUCUCUUCUCAUGAGGUGGCCAAAGUAUUGGAGCCUCAGCUUCAGGAUCUGUCCUUCCAGUGAGCACUCAGGGCUAAUUUCCUUAAGAAUGGAUGCGUUUGAUCUUCUUGUAGUCCAUGGGACUCUCAAGAGUCUCCUCCAGCACCAUAAUUCAAAAGCAUCAAUUCUUCGGCGAUCAGCCUUCUUUAUGGUCCAACUCUCACUUCCAUACAUCACUACUGGGAAAACCAUGGCUUUAGCUAUACGGACCUUUGUUGGCAAGGUGAUGUCUCUGCUUUUUAAGAUGCUGUCUAGGUUUGCCAUCGCUUUUCUCCCAAGGAGCAGGCGUCUUUUAAUUUUGUGACUGCUGUCACCAUCUGCAGUGAUCAUGGAGCCCAAGAAAGUAAAAUCUCUCACUUCCUCCAUUUCUUCCCCUUCUAUUUGCCAGGAGGUGAUGGGCCCAGUGGCCAUGAUCUUCGUUUUUUUGAUGUUGAGCUUCAGACCAUCUCACUGCUCGCCCCCAAUUGCUACUUAGAGUAGGUGCACUCUAUAUCUCACAUCUCCAUGUGUAUUAUUUUACAUUUAGUUACACUGAACUGUAGUUGCUGUUUUAAAGCAUUGUCACACCAUUUGGAGAGAUUCUUUUGGAGCUUCUCAAAACAGCUUUUUCAUUUUUAUCACCCUGAAUAUUUGGCUGUCAUCAGCAAACCUGACUACCUCACUGCUCGCCCCCGAUUGCUACUUACAGUAGGUGCACUCUAUAAUCUCACAUCCUCAUGACUGUAAUGAGGAAAACCAUAUAAAUAUUAGCUCUGUAAUUCACCCUGUCUGAAGUGCAGGUUUCUGAAAGGAUUUAUAAUGCAGUAAGUUAGAUUCCCCACCCCUACCCCUUUUCCUUUGCUUAUGCUACCCUGGGCAGCUAGGGAAAGGGGAAGGGGAAGGGACCCCUGACAAUUAAGUCCAGUCAUGAAUGAUUCUGGGGUUGCGGCGCUCAUCUCGCUUUACUCUCCGAGGGAGCCGGCGUUUGUCCGCAGACAGCUUCCGGGUCAUGUGGCCAGCAUGACUGAGCCGCUUCUGGCGAAACCAGAGCAGUGCACAGAAAUACCAUUUACCUUCCCACUGGAGUGGUACCUAUUUAUCUACUUGCAUUUUUGGUGUGCUUUCAAACUGCUAGGUUAGCAGGAAGCAUACAAUAAGCUUAACCUACAGACCAGUCAAAAAUACUUGAUGAACCCAAUCCUAAGAAAGUCAGUUUUCAGGUAGGCAACAGUAUUUGAAAUUCUCUAAGUAAUCUUAAAGCAUCCUUUCCCCUCAGCUCGUUUGGUUCAAAUCUAGAUGAAGCACAUAUUAAGUAAUAGUAUUGAUUUAUUUUGACUUUUUUUUACAGUUUAUUAGCCACCACUGUUAAGCGGUUGUCCUGCACUUUGUUCUAUAGUUUUCCAUUACUUUUAUUCCCAGAAAUAAAACGAAACAUGGAUUUGUUGUGCAAGUUUGCUGCGGUGCCAUUGCUAUUUACUGCAAUGUGCCCACUUUAUUUAUAAGGUAUUAUGAAGGUGCACUCUUAUUGCAUGAGGGGCAUCUACCCAGCUCUUUCUAAAUGGGUGUCGGAUCUACACAGAAGUGUGACAGUUUAGAAUAAAAUAAAAAAAGGCCUGUUCUCAUGUUAUCACCCUCUGGACCUUGUGGAGAAGGUACAUGAAGAAGGGCCUCAGAUAAUGAUGUCAAAGUCUGGGUAGGUUCAUAUGGAAAGAGGCAGUCCUUGAGGUAUUGCAAUCCUAAGCCAUUUAAGGCUUUAUAGGUCAAAACCAGCACUUUGAAUUGGGCCCAGAAACUAAUUGGUAGCCAAUGCAGUCGGACCAGGAAUGUCAUAAUAUGCUCAAACCAUUUUGCCCCAAUGAGCAACUUGGCCACUAAAUUCUGCACUAGCUGAAAUUUCCAAACAAGCAUCAAUACUGAUUAUUUUUAUCUAGCAUAAUCUACUGUAAAUACUUUUAGCCCACUGGCUUGGAAGUAAUCCCCAUCAGAGGUAGAUUUAGGUGAGUGCUACAGGUUUGGUCGCACUGGGUGCAAAAUUCUGGGGUGCCACUAGGGACACUGCAACUAUGAUUUAGAAUGAAGAGGGUGUGUGUGUGCUGAAUUUUGGCAUCGCGCAGGGCACCACUGAAAUUUGAGACCCCAAAGUCUGCCACUAGCACCAUUGAAUUCAAUAGGACUUCUGAGUAGACCUGGUUCACAUUGUGCUGUUAAGUCCCGCAGUUUUCAAAACUUUCAAUUUUGAACACAAGAAGUCUGCUACUGUGUCCCCGUUGUACCAAUGGAAUUAAAAGCACACACCACCUUAAAGGAUGAAGGUUUGCUAUUAUGCAGCAGCUAACCAUGCUUUUAAUUUGACAACGCACAGUGUGCAGGCUUCCUUUCUUCUUAUUUAGAUGUUUUUCUCUUGUCAUUAGAAGCCAGCAAUGGACAUGAAUGCUUUGUAUAUAAUUAUAUAGCACUUAGAGGCACCAGAUCCUGCCAAGCCGUUAAAAUGAGACUUGCAACUUGAUCAGAAUAUGUAUCAGAUUUUAAACCAUGAUUAACUUUUAUUAACAAAGUAUUCAACAACAAGAAAUGGGACGAGAUUGUCCUAGUGAUAUGCUCGUGUAUUUUCUUUUCUGAAUCAUUUAUCCCCUUCUCUAAAAGUAAGAUGUUUGCUAUCAACUCAGUAAAACACCACAUUUUUCAGGGUGAUUACUUUUGAAUAAUGACUGGGAACAUGGUUCUGGAUUUAUCAGUCAGGUUUAUAGAGAAAAGAAGUGGGCAAGCACUGGGCCUGAUGGCAUCAGAAAUGAGUAAGGAUUAAUCUCAUAGCCUAUGUCAUCCUCCCAUUGUUUUUUGAUUAUGUCUACUGGAUUAAGGUUACCAGAUUUUUUUCAAUGAAUCCGGGGACACUUUUCAACUUCCUACUAAAUAGAUGGAUUUUGUCAGGGGACUGAUUUGUAAAUCUGGGGACUGUCCCCGGGAAACGGGGAUGUCUGGUAACCUUAUACUGGAGGGGCCUGUCAGGAGUAAGCAUAGACCAAUGGUAUCAAAUACAAUCGUACCUCGGGUUAAGAACUUAAUUCGUUCUGGAGGUCUGUUCUUAACCUGAGGUACCACUUUAGCUAAUGGGGCCUCCCACUGCCACCGCACCGCCACUGCGCAAUUUCUGUUCUCAUCCUGAAGCACAGUUCUUAACCCGAGGUACUAUUUCUGGGUUAGCGGAGUCUGUAACCUGAAGCGUCUGUAACCUGAAGUGUCUGUAACCCGAGGUACCACUGUAGUAUGGGAAACAGCCUUAUUAGAAAAACUAACCAACAAACUGAAACUGACACAGGGACAAAUAGAAGAAGACACCUUCACCCCGAUAUGGUUACCCUUUAUCACAUACACAGCCCAUCAAGACAACAAGAAGAACCCACCAACAGCAUUCGAAUCAAUCUGGCUAACCUGAUCCAAACACACACACACAUACCCCACACCCAAAAACAAAGCUCACCGCAGCCAAUCAAAGACAACCAACCACACCCUAGACCAACCCCAGCCUCUCUCACCACCAAAGAAAUACAACAAGCGAAUAGUAAAGAGAACCCACACAAGUGAGGCUGACGCAAAACCCCACACAUACACUAAGUAGAAUAGAAGUAUUGCCACCUCACUCACCGCUCGCCUCUUUCUCCCUCUUUCCCCCUUUUCUUCCUAACGUAACACUAAUGUCUUGACAAAUGAAACUGAUCUGUAGAAAAUGUAACUUGAAAAAAAGAGACAUUGCACAUACUUUUGUAAACCAAGAAAUCUUUAAUAAAAAUAUAUUUUUUAAAAAAGAAAUGAGUGAGGAGAACAGAAACAAAGGAUAAUAGUACACUGGAAGGUCCUUGCCGGUCACAAAGGAGUUUGGGUUUGGAGAGGUCCUUGCCGGUCACAAAGGAGUUUGGGUUUGGAGAGAGUUAAUGCAGGAUCUGUUUCAGGAGCAAAUGGGAAGGUGAUGAUGCAAACAGAGGUACUGUACAGUUAAGGUUUAUAUGAUCUGAAGAGAAACCAGAGUAAGGAUGAACAGUUAAGAAGUGAGAACCAGAAUGAGAUUCGAGACAUACCUGACUGUUUAUUUAUGCUACAACAGCUGCAAGGAUGCUGCUUGCCUAGAGCUGGAAAGACGACAAGGUCCCUACCAGAGUGGACUGGCAGACGAAACUAAUGGACUGUGCAGAGAUGGCAAGAAUGACUGGGAAAAUCAGAAAGCAGGAGGAUCAAAACUUCAAGAAAGAAUGGGAGAAAUUUAUUUUAUUUUUGACAGACCACUGUAAAUACUUGAACUUUUUGGCAGGUCUUAAAUAACUCUUGUAAUAUUACACAGUCUUUGGAUACAAUGGAGGAUUCUAAAAUUAGGAGGACUUGCAGUUGAAAAGUUUAACUAAAGAACCCAAGGAGGGGAAGAGGGAAGUCUAGAGAUUCGGAGGAAUCUUGUGUAAUUUUUAUUAUUUGUGAUUUUGAGUGUGA
This is a non-coding RNA of Podarcis lilfordi (Lilford's wall lizard), 9405 nucleotides long. The record is from the annotation of a GenBank genome assembly. Lineage: Eukaryota; Metazoa; Chordata; Lepidosauria; Squamata; Lacertidae.